AGUCUAUGGUGUGAACAUUUUCGUAGCAAAUCUCUAAAUCUCUGCCAAGUUUCAUACAAUGAUUCACCCUCUUGUUGGUUAAAACUAGUUAUAUCUAUUCUAAGUUU
Coffea eugenioides is the source of this 107-nucleotide small nucleolar RNA. NCBI's taxonomy places the organism in Eukaryota, Viridiplantae, Streptophyta, Magnoliopsida, Gentianales, Rubiaceae. The record is from RefSeq and is a predicted model, not a curated record.